RNAcentral lists this ribosomal RNA (620 nucleotides) under Bacillus tequilensis. RNAcentral describes it as "bacterial SSU rRNA". It matches the Rfam family "Bacterial small subunit ribosomal RNA", at positions 75 to 679 of the family's 1533-position model. The record is from RNAcentral. Lineage: Bacteria; Bacillati; Bacillota; Bacilli; Caryophanales; Bacillaceae. RNAcentral also lists the same sequence under 1 other name.
GGAGCUUGCUCCCUGAUGUUAGCGGCGGACGGGUGAGUAACACGUGGGUAACCUGCCUGUAAGACUGGGAUAACUCCGGGAAACCGGGGCUAAUACCGGAUGGUUGUUUGAACCGCAUGGUUCAAACAUAAAAGGUGGCUUCGGCUACCACUUACAGAUGGACCCGCGGCGCAUUAGCUAGUUGGUGAGGUAAUGGCUCACCAAGGCAACGAUGCGUAGCCGACCUGAGAGGGUGAUCGGCCACACUGGGACUGAGACACGGCCCAGACUCCUACGGGAGGCAGCAGUAGGGAAUCUUCCGCAAUGGACGAAAGUCUGACGGAGCAACGCCGCGUGAGUGAUGAAGGUUUUCGGAUCGUAAAGCUCUGUUGUUAGGGAAGAACAAGUACCGUUCGAAUAGGGCGGUACCUUGACGGUACCUAACCAGAAAGCCACGGCUAACUACGUGCCAGCAGCCGCGGUAAUACGUAGGUGGCAAGCGUUGUCCGGAAUUAUUGGGCGUAAAGGGCUCGCAGGCGGUUUCUUAAGUCUGAUGUGAAAGCCCCCGGCUCAACCGGGGAGGGUCAUUGGAAACUGGGGAACUUGAGUGCAGAAGAGGAGAGUGGAAUUCCACGUGUAGC